Molecule: transfer RNA, 69 nt
Filed under: Hydrurga leptonyx (leopard seal)
Lineage: Eukaryota; Metazoa; Chordata; Mammalia; Carnivora; Phocidae
Description: transfer RNA-Lys
Source: RNAcentral
CAUUAAGAAGCUACACAGCAUUAACCUUUUAAGUUAAAGACUGAGAGUAUCUAAAUCUCUCCUUAAUGA